CCGGUAUCGCAUCGGCCCGGCGAGGGGCGUUGACAGCGCCGCGGGCAACCACGACCCUCGUCAGGGCGCGUUCGAGAAUCCCGCGUGCCGGC
Molecule: transfer RNA, 92 nt
Filed under: Actinocatenispora comari
Lineage: Bacteria; Bacillati; Actinomycetota; Actinomycetes; Micromonosporales; Micromonosporaceae
Description: tRNA-Val
Source: RNAcentral